RNAcentral lists this ribosomal RNA (492 nucleotides) under uncultured bacterium. RNAcentral's name for it is "partial 16S ribosomal RNA". It matches the Rfam family "Bacterial small subunit ribosomal RNA", at positions 29 to 507 of the family's 1533-position model. The record is from RNAcentral.
AGUGAACGCUGGCGGCAGGCCUAACACAUGCCAGUCGAACGGCAGCACAGUAAGAUCUUGCUCUUACGGGUUGCGAGUGGCGUACGUGAGAGGUAUGUAUCGUAAUCUACUUUUUCGGGGAGGUUAACGUAGGUAAACUUACUCUAAUACCGCAUCCGACCUACGGGUGAAAGCAGUGGAUCUUCGGACCUUGCGCGAAUGAAUGAGCCGAUGUCGGGUUAGCUAGUUGGCGGGGUAAAGGCCUACCAAGGCGACGAUCCGUAGCUGGUCUGAGAGGAUGGUCACCCACACUGGAACUGGGCCGCGGUCCAGACUCCUACGGGAGGCGCCAGUGGGGAAUAUUGGACAAUGGGCGCAAACAUGAUCCAGUCAGACCGCGUGGGUGGAGGCAGCCUUCGGGUUGUAAAGACGUUUUGUUGGGAAAGAAAAGCAGCAGGUUAAUACCAAGCUGGUCUGACGGUACCCAAAGAAUAAGCACCGGCUAACUUCGUG